AUGGCAAUCCGGUUAAAUCCCCUCCUUUUUAUUUUUGCAAUUAUGUGCAUUGCUUCACUCAUGGUUGCAGCAGGAUUUCAAGAUUUGCAACAUUCUGAUACAUUACAGUGCUUUAAUUCUGGUGCAUGUCCAAAUGAUAUUGAAGCUUGUCGACAUUCUUGUAUAUCAAAGGGUUUUCCUAAAGGUGGUAAGUGUGGAGCCAAAUUAUCCACAUGCUGUUGCUAUGGAGAUUAG
Vicia faba (fava bean) is the source of this 234-nucleotide non-coding RNA. The record is from the annotation of a GenBank genome assembly. NCBI's taxonomy places the organism in Eukaryota, Viridiplantae, Streptophyta, Magnoliopsida, Fabales, Fabaceae.